This 121-nucleotide transfer RNA is filed under the name Colletotrichum phormii. RNAcentral's name for it is "tRNA-Leu". It matches the Rfam family "tRNA". Rfam says of the family: Transfer RNA (tRNA) molecules are approximately 80 nucleotides in length. Lineage: Eukaryota; Fungi; Ascomycota; Sordariomycetes; Glomerellales; Glomerellaceae. The record is from RNAcentral.
GGCAACUUGGCCGAGCGGUCUAAGGCGCCAGACUCAAGUGUCCCAUUAAAUGGUAACUUCCCCGUAAGCGGGGCGCAUUCUGGUCUCGAAAGAGGCGUGAGUUCGAAUCUCACAGUUGUCA